GGGAGCUUGCUCCCAGGCGUCGAGUGGCGCACGGGUGAGUAACGCGUGGGAACCUGCCUUUUUCUGCGGGAUAACGGUUGGAAACGACCGCUAAUACCGCAUACGCCCUACGGGGGAAAGGUCCGCCGGAAAAAGAGGGGCCCGCGUCUGAUUAGCUUGUUGGUAGGGUAAUGGCCUACCAAGGCGACGAUCAGUAGCUGGUCUGAGAGGAUGAUC
RNAcentral lists this ribosomal RNA (216 nucleotides) under uncultured bacterium. RNAcentral describes it as "partial 16S ribosomal RNA". It matches the Rfam family "Bacterial small subunit ribosomal RNA", at positions 74 to 305 of the family's 1533-position model. The record is from RNAcentral.